Molecule: long non-coding RNA, 507 nt
Organism: Sinocyclocheilus grahami
Lineage: Eukaryota; Metazoa; Chordata; Actinopteri; Cypriniformes; Cyprinidae
Exons: 3
Source: RefSeq, a predicted model, not a curated record
GUACAGUAGGUGCAGCCAACUUUGAUAUCAAGCUGCUUUAAAUGUGAUAAAUGAAAAGGUGUUUUUUUUCCUCAUUAUAGUUAUGUUGAGAGUGUAGAUGUUUUUACAUUUGAUUUUGAGUGUCUUGUUGUACAGUACAGUUGCAAACUCUUGAAAACGUUUGAAUCAUUUCUCCAUACUUACGCACUCAUCUGUCAAGAUCCGACAGGUGAUCCAGGGACUUUGAUAUCAUGGACAGUGACUGCUUAUCUUUGCUACCAGAGGUCUGCCUGGUCCUGGCCGACCCCCAGCAGUCUCCACCCGAUGACACCUCUUUAGAGAAGCUGCUUGAUUGGUUCAAAGAGCUGCAUAUCCAAAGUAAUGGACAGGUGCUUUUGCAGCAUCAGCCGUGUCUCUUGGAGUUUAUUUCUAGUGUUUGUACGUCUAAAACUACAGAUCCUGCUAUCAUUUCUUUCACCCUCAAACUCACUGGACUUCUGGCUGCCACCAAACAGGGCUUCCAUUUGC